AUUGAACGCUGGCGGCAGGCCUAACACAUUCAAUUCGGGCAAGCGGCGGACGGGUGAGUAAUGUAUGGGGAUCUGCCUGAUGGAGGGGGAUACCUACUAGAAACAGUAGCUAAUACCGCAUACCAUCAGAUGACCCCAUAUGGGAUUAGAUUUGAGGUGAGGUAACGGCUCACCUAGGCGACGAUCCCUAGCUGGUCUGAGAGGAUGAUCAGCCACACUGGGACUGAGACACGGCCCAGACUCCUACGGGAGGAAGCAGUGGGGAAGAGUGCACAAUGGGCGCAAGCCGGAUACAGCCAUGCCGCGUGUAGGAAGAAGGCCUUCGGGUUGUAAAGUACUUUCAGUCGGGAGGCGUUACCGACAGAAGAAGCACCGGCUAACUCCGUGCCAGCAGCCGCGGUAAUAC
Molecule: ribosomal RNA, 406 nt
Filed under: uncultured bacterium
Lineage: Bacteria
Description: partial 16S ribosomal RNA
Rfam family: Bacterial small subunit ribosomal RNA
Source: RNAcentral